CUUGGCUCUUCAAGUCACCUGGCUUAUUCCCUCCUGAAAAUGCAUUCUCUCUUUCCCUGUUUGGGUGAACGGCUGCUGGCAGGGCCACGGAAGGGAGGGGCCAGAGAUGAAGAAAGGCUUUGCAGUCAGAGCCGAGUUAGGGUUAUGGUCCACUGUAAGAUCUUGGAAAAGAUAUUCUCUGUUUUUUUGAGACAGAGUCUCGCUCUGUCGCCCAGGCUGGAGUGCAGAGGCGUGAUCUCUGCUCACUGCAGUCUCCGCCUCCGGGUUUCAAGCGAUUCUCCUGCCUCAGCCUCCCGAGUAGCUGGGACUGCAGGUGCCCACCACCACACCCGGCUAAUUUUUGUAUUUUUGGUAGAGACAGGGUUUUACUAUAUGUUGGCCAGGCUGGUCUCAAACUCCUGGCCUCUAGUGAUCCACCUGUCUCGGCCUCCCAAGGCGCUGGGGUUACAGGUGUGAGCCACCACACAUCUGGCUGGAAAAGUUACCCUCUAAGCCUUAGUUUCCUUAUUUUGAGGAACGGUCAUCAUGAUGUGUACAUUUUAGGCUUAUGAGUGUUUCCCUGAGAUAAAAUGAGCACCGGUUGGUGUGAGAAGCAGCGAUGAUCUUUCUUUUUUCUGAAUGGCUGUUUCUCUUGUCUCUUCCCCCAAGAUCUGCCUUUCCUGCCCUUUCGACUAAUAAGGGAAGAACUUCUCAAACAAUUCGGCUAUGUAACCUGGAGAUGGGACUUUAUGCAUCAUAGUGACAACUGGCUUCUGCUUCCCUGGGUGUGGUAGUUAGUGGAGAAGGGGAGGGUGCCCUGAGGGAGGGAGGACUCUGCAGAGGAAUGGGCAGCCAAGAGUUGGUUCACCUGUACAAGAAAUCUCCUUGGUGAUCCUGAAUCCAUUCAUGAGUCCAGGAUGUCUCGGUGGUGGAACAACAUCAGGCCUCUGAAAUAGGGAAAGACUCUUGCUGUGUCACCCAGGCUGGAGUCAGUGACGUGAUCUCGGCUCACUGCAACCUCCACUUCCUGGAUUCAAGCGAUUCUCCUGCCUCACCCUCCGGAGUAGCUGGGACUAUAGGGAUGCACCACCAUGCCUAGCUAAUUUUUGUAUUUUUAGUAGAGAUGGGGUUUCACCAUAUUGGCCAGGCUAAUCUCGAACUUCUGAUCUUGUGAUCUGCCCGCCUUGGCCUCCCAAAGUGCUGGGAUUACAGGCGUGAGCCACCGCGCCCAGCCCUCAUGAUGUGUGUUUCUCUAACUCUUAGCAUGAAGUAGGCAUUGAUGACAUAUUUGAUGAGUGAAUGAUGGGAGGAUGGGCAACAAUUUAUUUUCAAGUCGGCUUCUAGAAUUCAACACCACCAGCACGCCAUAGGUGCGGAUGUGUGAGGGUACAACACAGGGCCGCGACAGUCCCUACAACAUUACGCCGUUUCAGCAAGGACUCUUAGAGCAAAAAGUUCCUGACUCCUUUCUUCAGUUACAGGGUCCAGCCCGUGGGGCUGUUCUCUGUGUUUCUUUGAGAAGUAUGCAUGUUCUCCUGGUCCUGUCUGCUUUCUGCUUCAGGCCCCGGAGGAACUCCCAGCUUUGCCACUGACAGAAAAAGAUCCCUUCAGAUCCCCAGUUCUUGGUGGGCAGGUGCUUCCCAGGUGGAACAGAGCCAACCCUUUCUUCUUCAUUGGGCCUCCCUUGGCUUAUGUGGGCUCCUCUUUGAUCUAUUGUCUUAUGGAUACUGGAGGUUUCUUGAAAAAUCCUCCUUUGUUUACCCAAUAGCAGUGAACUCCUCAAGUAAACCGCCUUUUACCAGUGUUCUCCCGCAGGCAUUGAGCACAGGUAGUCUGAAGGCUGUGGUGCCGUUGCCUUGGAGAGGUGUUGGGAGAGGCCUUUUAACUUCCAGCAAGUAGGAGUCAUACUGUGGCAGAAAUGGGGGCCGAAAGCAGGGACCACUUGCUUGUGGAAUUGGAGAGCAGAGGAAGUGAGGCAGGAUGAGAGUUGGAAGGACAGAGAAGUGGAUGUUUGGCAUCGCAGUGGAGAGAGCUCUGUCCAUGUGUGAGGUUUAAAAUCCAUAUCAGGAUUUUCUCCGAAUUCUGGUCAAGUGAAAGUCACAGGACUGUUCUAGGAGCCAAAGGGAGAGGCAAGCCAGGGAUGAUGGGGUGAGGGGUGUUUGGUGAUGCAGUGGGGAGGGCGGUGAGUAGAGAGUGGAGAGGUACAGGUGUGGAGAGGCAGAGGUGAGGCAAAUGGUGUGGCGAGGAGCUCCCUGGGAGACGGUGGAACUGAAGAGUGGAACCAUAGUGGAGUUGGCUUAUAGGCGCUUUCACCCUGGACCCACAUGAGAAUGAUCUAGGGAAUUAAAAAAUAGCCGAAUGUGGGCCAGGCGCAGUGGCUCACGCCUGUAAUACCAGCACUUUACGAGGCCGAGGUGAUACGGAAGGGGGCAAGGAAGUGCUGGGAGGAAAAGGGCAGGUCCUUGGCGGGGGCUCCACCCCUGGGCCUGUGCCCAUGGACCUAGGUGAGGACAGGCACUCCUGACCUCAUGCGCAAAUGUUGCAUUUCCCAAGACCAUCCUGGCCUGCCAUGCCCCGACCCUGUGCCUGUAAAAACCCGAGACCCUAGCAGGCAAGCACACGAGUGGCUGAACGUCUCGAGGAACACAUCGGCGGAAGAAGACUCGUGCAGCUCGACAUUGAGAGGACCCGAGGAGAGCACGCCGGCACACCUGCAGGACUUCCACCCACAGAAUGACGCAGAGUUUGGCUGGGGCGGUCAGGACCACCGAGCGGCUUGACUUCAGGGGCAAACCAUCUCCCUUCUGGCUCCCCCACCUGCUGAGAGCUACUUCCACUCAAUAAAAC
This 2826-nucleotide long non-coding RNA is filed under the name Homo sapiens (human). Its description in RNAcentral is "HSALNT0332154". Lineage: Eukaryota; Metazoa; Chordata; Mammalia; Primates; Hominidae. The record is from RNAcentral.